UGGGGGGUCGUCUAAUGGCAAGACGCCAGCCUCUGGAGCUGGUUAUCGGGGUUCGAGUCCCUGCCCCCCAG
This 71-nucleotide transfer RNA is filed under the name Solirubrobacteraceae bacterium. Its description in RNAcentral is "tRNA-Gln". It matches the Rfam family "tRNA". Rfam says of the family: Transfer RNA (tRNA) molecules are approximately 80 nucleotides in length. The record is from RNAcentral. Lineage: Bacteria; Bacillati; Actinomycetota; Thermoleophilia; Solirubrobacterales; Solirubrobacteraceae. RNAcentral also lists the same sequence under 3 other names.